GCGACCCCAGAUAAGGCGGGACUACCCGCUGAGUUUAAGCAUAU
RNAcentral lists this ribosomal RNA (44 nucleotides) under Rumex crispus. RNAcentral describes it as "partial 26S ribosomal RNA". Lineage: Eukaryota; Viridiplantae; Streptophyta; Magnoliopsida; Caryophyllales; Polygonaceae. The record is from RNAcentral.